GUAGGCGCCAUCUUGCCAUGGCGAAUUUCUCUCCAGCUUCACCGCUCCCCACAAUUAAGGCUGGGCUGAAAGAUGUGUGGCUGCUGAGGGAGGGAUCUUCCCCACUGGCCAAGCUGUCUCGAACCCCUGCGCCCCCCCCCCCACCUGCCCCUCCUUGUUAGCCCAGCUGCCCCAACAGGCCCUGGUAGCCGAAGGUCUUCUCCAUGGCUUUGCAGGAAAAUAAAGUUUUAAUUCGCUACUCCCGCCUCACUGCGAGAAACAGGGAGUGACUCAGCAUGACCUGUCCUAAUCAUUUUGGCUGCAACAGGACCUACAAGACCUAGUCGAACCCUUGCCUGCCCAGCAACUGCUAAAGUAGAAUAAUCUCAUAGUCCCCAUCAGAUCACCCCAUACCCCUCGUCAUCUGCUCUAUAUAAAAUGAGAGACUGGUGCAAUAAAGUGAGUUCCUACUUCGACAAGA
Molecule: long non-coding RNA, 460 nt
Organism: Mastomys coucha (southern multimammate mouse)
Lineage: Eukaryota; Metazoa; Chordata; Mammalia; Rodentia; Muridae
Exons: 2
Source: RefSeq, a predicted model, not a curated record